CACGUGCGGCCGAGAAGCGCCGGGCACAGCCUGGAGGCGCGCAGGAAGCAGCCGAGGCGCAUGCGCAUCCGCAUCCGGAGGCGGCGGGACGAAGCGGCUCCCGCUCAGCAGUUUAUUCGAGCAAAACAUCAAUUCAAAUCAGGCAGCAUCCAAUGUAGCCGCGAGAAAGGAGCUCUGGGGAACGGCUCAAAAUGAAAGACUGAUUGGCAGAAGGGAGCAGAAACAAGGAACAUAAACGAGGUUUCUGAUCCGUGCUGAAUGAAUUUGUGUCCACGGGGAGAGGACAAGAUGUACAGUUUUGUGUUUCUCAGUUUCACAGGUCGAUCAAUGGAAAGGAAUUGGGCUUCAAAUUGUUGUACCUAAUGGAUUACACCCAAGAAAUUUAUCCAUACUAGAAGACAAAACGUUGAACCUUGGAGUUCUGUGUUAAUGAGACUUAGAUUUAGAUGAAAAGACUGUGGACUCUGAGCUGAUGCCAUAAAGGGAUGAAACUCUUGGGAAUCUUAAAAGGGCAUAAUGUAUUUUGCAUUUGUAAAGGAUGUGGAUAGUUGAGUACCAGAGGGUGGCCUCUGGUAGGCAGGACUGUACAAGACCCCUGGAAUCCUACCUUCUGUGUAUAUGCCCUGUAUGAUACCACCCCUUAAUGUGAACAGGACUUCUGACUAUAAAGCUGUAUCAGUUCUGUGAAUAUGUUAUGUUAAAAGGUAAAGGAACUUUGCAGUCCCUAAUUAGUCGACUUUAAUUAUAAGGGAAAUUAUCUUGAUGAGUCUGACCUAAAUAGGUGAAUUUUUUAACAAGAAGUAACAGAUUUUUUUUUUUUCUGUUGGCCUUCAGGUUAGAGUUAAUUAAAAUUAAAAUGCUCUCUCCUGCAAAAUACAUUCUUGAGUGAAUGAAAGACAAGGCACAGACUGAAAGAAAAUAUUUGCAAAAUUACAUCAGUUAAAUGACUUUUACCAUAAUGAUAUUAACUCAUAAAAGUUAACAAAAUAAAAACAAAUAACAGUUAAGAAAUGGGCAAAAGAACAUAACAAAGAUUUAUAGAUGGCAAAUAAGCAUAUUGUAAGCCCUCAACACCAUUUGUCAUUGUGAAAUGCAAAUUAAAGCAAAAAAGAUAUACCUAUAUAAAUGUAAAAAGAGACAAUACCGAUUUUGGAGAGAAUGUAUAGCAAUAAUGAUUUAUUCAUUUCUAGUGGAAAUGCAAAAUAUUACAGCUACUUUAAAAGACAAUUUUGUAGUUUCCUACAAAACUAGGCAUAGUCUUACUAUAUAAUACAGUAUUCAUAUUACCCAACUGAUUUCAAAAUUUAUCUCCAUGUAAAAAAAUUGUGCACAAAUGUUUGUGGCAGUAUUAUUCAUAACCAAUAUAAACUUGAAGGAAAUAGGAAGGCUUUAUUAGGUGAAUGAAUGAAUAAACUUCAUACAACAGAAAUUCAUACAGGGGAGUACUAAUAAGCAAUAUAAAGAAAUGAGCUAUCAAGCCAUAAAAAGACUUGGAUGAAUUUUAAAUGCAUAUUGCUAAAUAAAUAAGCCAGUCUGAAAAGGCGACACACUAUAUGAUUUUAAUUGCAUGGUAUUCUAGAAAAGGCAAAACUUGGAGACAGUAAAAAGAUCAGUGGUCACUGGGAGUUUUGAGGAUGGGAGGGUAGAAAGAACAGAACAUCACAGGUGUUGUUAUAUUUAGUCUACUUGGGCUGCUAUAACAAAUUGCCAUAGAAUGGAUUAUUUAAACAACAAUGUUUUCUUGCUUACAGUUCUGGAGGGUGGAAAUCUGAGAUCAGGAUACUGGUAUGAUUGGGUUUUGGUGAGGACCCUCUUAACUGCUUAUAAUCUCACAUGGCAUUCUUUAGUGUGUGCAAGGGAGAGAGAAAGGGGUGAGAGAAGAAAGUUUUGUUUUUUCUCCUGUUUGUAUAAGGGCAUUAAUACCAUCAUGAGGUCCCCACAGUCAUGACCUUAUUUAACCCUCCCAAAGGCCUAAUCUUAAAAUUCCAUCAUGUUGGGGGUUGGGAUUUCAAGAUAGGAAUUUUGAGGGGACACAGUCCAUAAUAAUACUGUACUGGUGGAUACAUGGCAUUAUACAUCUCUCAGGACCCAGAACUGUAUAAAUAAACUGUAAUAUAAACUACGGUUUUUAAUAAACUACACUUUAAUAAAGUAUCAGUAUUGGUUUUUUAAUUGUAACAAAUAUACCACACCAAUGCAACACAUUAAUAGUAAUAAUAAUAAGGGACAUUAUCUAUGUUGGGAGAUUUGGUAGGGGACAGAGGGAGCAGAGGAACUCUGUAUUUUCCACUCACUUUUUCUUCAAACCUAAAAUUGAUUUUUUAAAAUAGCCUAAAAAAAAAAUCAGUAGAUUUAUUUGAAAUUGUUUCUCAUAAUCCAACAAAGAGCUAAGGGCAAAAGCCCAUUUUAAUAUUUUUUUUUAUAUUUGGGUAAGAAUAACACAUACUUACACUCUAAAAACAGAAAUAUUCUAUUUAUUACAGGAUUCAAGCAUUAUUUUACUUUUAAAAUAUUCAACAGAGAUGGGAUUUAAGAUGGCAGAGUAGAAGGACUGGAGCUCACCUUCUCUCACAAAAGCAACAAAAUUACAACCAACUGCUGAACAGCCUUCAACAAAACAGACUGGGAACUAUCAAAAAAUUAUCCUACUCCAGUAGACAAAGAGUAGCCCACAUAAAGAUGGUACAAGGUGCAAUUACAUGAUGUAAGCAACCCCAUACCUGCCUGGAGGGUGGCCCAAAGACUGGAAAGUAACGAUAUAGUAGAGGUUUACCCACAGGAGUGGGAGUUCUGAGCCCUCCAUCAGGUUCCAUGCCUGGGGAUCUGACAUCAGGAGGAGGACCCCUGGGGAAUUUGGCAUUGAGGGCCAGAGGCUGCUUGUGCUCAGGACCUCCACAGAACUGGAACAAAUGGAGACUACACUCUUGAA
Sus scrofa (pig) is the source of this 2929-nucleotide non-coding RNA. The record is from RefSeq and is a predicted model, not a curated record. NCBI's taxonomy places the organism in Eukaryota, Metazoa, Chordata, Mammalia, Artiodactyla, Suidae.